GACGAACGCUGGCGGCGUGCUUAACACAUGCAAGUCGAACGGAAAGGCCCUGCUUUUGUGGGGUGCUCGAGUGGCGAACGGGUGAGUAACACGUGAGUAACCUGCCCUUGACUUUGGGAUAACUUCAGGAAACUGGGGCUAAUACCGGAUAGGAGCUCCUGCUGCAUGGUGGGGGUUGGAAAGUUUCGGCGGUUGGGGAUGGACUCGCGGCUUAUCAGCUUGUUGGUGGGGUAGUGGCUUACCAAGGCUUUGACGGGUAGCCGGCCUGAGAGGGUGACCGGCCACAUUGGGACUGAGAUACGGACCAGAAUCCUACGGGAGGCAGCAGGGGGGAAUAUUGCACAAUGGGCGGAAGCCUGAUGCAGCAACGCCGCGUGCGGGAUGACGGCCUUCGGGUUGUAAACCGCUUUCGCCUGUGACGAAGAGUGAGUGACGGUAAUGGGUAAAGAAGCACCGGCUAACUACGUG
This 468-nucleotide ribosomal RNA is filed under the name uncultured bacterium. Its description in RNAcentral is "partial 16S ribosomal RNA". It matches the Rfam family "Bacterial small subunit ribosomal RNA", at positions 28 to 507 of the family's 1533-position model. The record is from RNAcentral.